RNAcentral lists this ribosomal RNA (461 nucleotides) under Streptococcus sp. oral taxon 064. Its description in RNAcentral is "bacterial SSU rRNA". It matches the Rfam family "Bacterial small subunit ribosomal RNA", at positions 28 to 473 of the family's 1533-position model. The record is from RNAcentral. Lineage: Bacteria; Bacillati; Bacillota; Bacilli; Lactobacillales; Streptococcaceae.
GACGAACGCUGGCGGCAUGCCUAAUACAUGCAAGUAGAACGCUGAAGGAGGAGCUUGCUCUUCUGGAUGAGUUGCGAACGGGUGAGUAACGUGUAGGUAACCUGCCUGGUAGCGGGGGAUAACUAUUGGAAACGAUAGCUAAUACCGCAUAAUAGUAGAUGUUGCAUGACAUUUACUUGAAAGGUGCAAUUGCAUCACUACCAGAUGGACCUGCGUUGUAUUAGCUAGUUGGUGGGGUAACGGCUCACCAAGGCGACGAUACAUAGCCGACCUGAGAGGGUGAUCGGCCACACUGGGACUGAGACACGGCCCAGACUCCUACGGGAGGCAGCAGUAGGGAAUCUUCGGCAAUGGACGGAAGUCUGACCGAGCAACGCCGCGUGAGUGAAGAAGGUUUUCGGAUUGUAAAGCUCUGUUGUAAGAGAAGAACGAGUGUGAGAGUGGAAAGUUCACACUGUGAC